CGCUUCGAUUCGAAAGUGUGUGAGCCCUAUCUGUCGAAUUCUGGGGCUAGUUAGUGAAUGGCGGUCGUCCUCCCUGGGAUGAGAAAGUAGUACAGAUCUCGGGUUUGGGUUGAGAGCAGAUCGAUCCAGGGUUCGAGGAACAUAUAUCCCAGGGUAUAUAUCCCGAUUGGGGCCGGGAAUCCCUUCUGAACGUCUCGCGAAUGGGCAGUAUUUGGAACUUCACAGCGCAGACAUAUUGGGUAUUUCUCGUUCUGGUUCCUUGAAAGGAUCCAGCAGGACUUGAAUCUUUUUUUGUCUGUCGUGGGUGAUGCUGCUGCUGGUGGGGAUAGAUUCAGAGGCUGAAUCAAACAAAUAUUUGUCUGCUUAAUCACAGCUGUUGGAGCAUUAGUGUAUAGGAGUAUAGUGGUAUAGUAGUGGUACUCACGUCCUACUAAUCGUAUUUGUUACACGAUCUGGCGACGCACCUGAAGCCGGGCCACCUUUGUGUUGGGCCAUCUGGACGACGAAUCCGUGGUGGUGUUCCGGUGUUGCCAAGCGCAGAGGUCCGUCUGGCCACGGGAGAUGAUGCCGGGAUAUUGUCAAGGAUAGAGACUGAGUUAACUAGUUAUAGAUGGG
RNAcentral lists this small RNA (615 nucleotides) under Histoplasma capsulatum. RNAcentral describes it as "hypothetical RNA". Lineage: Eukaryota; Fungi; Ascomycota; Eurotiomycetes; Onygenales; Ajellomycetaceae. RNAcentral also lists the same sequence under 1 other name. The record is from RNAcentral.